This 583-nucleotide ribosomal RNA is filed under the name uncultured Bolidomonas. Its description in RNAcentral is "partial Bacterial small subunit ribosomal RNA". It matches the Rfam family "Bacterial small subunit ribosomal RNA", at positions 212 to 811 of the family's 1533-position model. The record is from RNAcentral. Lineage: Eukaryota; Bolidophyceae.
CUUGCGCUAUUGGAUGUGCCUAUGUCGGAUUAGCUAGUUGGUGGGGUAAGAGCCUACCAAGGCGACGAUCCGUAGCUGGUCUGAGAGGAUGAUCAGCCACACUGGAACUGAGACACGGUCCAGACUCCUACGGGAGGCAGCAGUGGGGAAUCUUGCACAAUGGGCGAAAGCCUGAUGCAGCGAUGCCGCGUGCGGGAAGAAGGCCUUAGGGUUGUAAACCGCUUUCAGGAGGGAAGAAAAUGACGGUACCUCCAGAAGAAGGUGCGGCCAACUACGUGCCAGCAGCCGCGGUGACACGUAGGCACCAAGCGUUAUCCGGAUUUAUUGGGCGUAAAGAGCUCGUAGGCGGUUUGGUAAGUCGGGUGUGAAAACUCUGGGCUCAACCCAGAGAGGCCACUCGAUACUGCUAUGACUAGAGUACGGUAGGGGAGCGGGGAAUUCCUGGUGUAGCGGUGAAAUGCGCAGAUAUCAGGAGGAACACCAGCGGCGAAGGCGCCGCUCUGGGCCGUAACUGACGCUGAGGAGCGAAAGCAUGGGUAGCAAACAGGAUUAGAUACCCUGGUAGUCCACGCCGUAAACGAUG